This 119-nucleotide ribosomal RNA is filed under the name Triticum aestivum (bread wheat). Lineage: Eukaryota; Viridiplantae; Streptophyta; Magnoliopsida; Poales; Poaceae. The record is from RNAcentral.
GGAUGCGAUCAUACCAGCACUAAAGCAUCGGAUCCCAUCAGAACUUCGAAGUUAAGCGUGCUUGGGCGCGAGUAGUACUAGGAUGGGUGACCUCCUGGGAAGUCCUCAUGUUGCAUUCC